RNAcentral lists this long non-coding RNA (280 nucleotides) under Malus domestica (apple). RNAcentral's name for it is "long non-coding RNA (MDOM_LNC016712)". Lineage: Eukaryota; Viridiplantae; Streptophyta; Magnoliopsida; Rosales; Rosaceae. The record is from RNAcentral.
GAGGAGCGUGUACUCUCGACUAGGCCCACAGAUGAGCAUACAUUCACGGUUGGGGUCACACUCCGAUAGUCAACAUAAGCAACCUUCCGGACAAAGUGUUCAUUCGCGGCUAAGCCCACAAGGAGCAUCAUCCACCUCACAUCAGAGUAGGCAGCACGACGGACGGAGAGAAGCAGUCACUCAAUCCAGCUCAAGUUCAACCAGCAGCCUGCGAAGAACUCGCUCGCCUGCUAGGAACGCACCACAUGCACUGCAUCUGCGGCGUAGACGAGCCAAACAC